RNAcentral lists this ribosomal RNA (1377 nucleotides) under metagenome. RNAcentral's name for it is "bacterial SSU rRNA". It matches the Rfam family "Bacterial small subunit ribosomal RNA", at positions 8 to 1386 of the family's 1533-position model. The record is from RNAcentral.
AGAGUUUGAUCCUGGCUCAGGAUGAACGCUAGCGACACGCCUAACACAUGCAAGUCGAGGGGUAACAUGAGUGCUUGCACUUGAUGACGACCGGCGCACGGGUGCGUAACGCGUAUGCAACUUACCUUGUACUGGGGAAUAGCCCGUGGAAACGCGGAUUAAUGUCCCAUAACACUACAAUUUCGCAUGGAAAAGUGGUUAAAGUUCCGACGGUACAAGAUGGGCAUGCGUGACAUUAGCUAGUUGGUGAGGUAAUGGCUCACCAAGGCGACGAUGUCUAGGGGUUCUGAGAGGAAGGUCCCCCACACUGGUACUGAGACACGGACCAGACUCCUACGGGAGGCAGCAGUGAGGAAUAUUGGUCAAUGGGCGCAAGCCUGAACCAGCCAUGUCGCGUGCAGGAAGACUGCCCUACGGGUUGUAAACUGCUUUUGUAUGGGAAGAAACGUUGGUACGUGUACCAAUUUGCCGGUACCAUACGAAUAAGGAUCGGCUAACUCCGUGCCAGCAGCCGCGGUAAUACGGAGGAUCCAAGCGUUAUCCGGAUUUAUUGGGUUUAAAGGGUGCGUAGGCGGUAGAAUAAGUCAGUGGUGAAAUCCUGCAGCUUAACUGUAGAACUGCCAUUGAUACUGUUUUACUUGAGUGUAAUUGAGGUAGGCGGAAUGUGUUGUGUAGCGGUGAAAUGCAUAGAUAUAACACGGAACACCGAUUGCGAAGGCAGCUUACUAAGUUAUAACUGACGCUGAUGCACGAAAGCGUGGGUAGCGAACAGGAUUAGAUACCCUGGUAGUCCACGCCGUAAACGAUGAUUACUCGCUGUAGGCAAUACACCGUCUGUGGCUGAGCGAAAGCAUUAAGUAAUCCACCUGGGGAGUACGUUGGCAACAAUGAAACUCAAAGGAAUUGACGGGGGCCCGCACAAGCGGAGGAACAUGUGGUUUAAUUCGAUGAUACGCGAGGAACCUUACCUGGACUUAAAUGUAGAUUGACGUAUCCAGAGAUGGAUAUUUCUUCGGACAAUUUACAAGGUGCUGCAUGGUUGUCGUCAGCUCGUGCCGUGAGGUGUCGGGUUCAGUCCCAUAACGAGCGCAACCCCUGUUGUUAGUUACCAGCACAUCAUGGUGGGGACUCUAACAAGACUGCCGGUGUAAACCGCGAGGAAGGUGGGGAUGACGUCAAAUCAGCACGGCCCUUACGUCCAGGGCUACACACGUGUUACAAUGGCCGGUACAGAGGGCAGCUACUUGGUGACAAGAUGCGAAUCUCAAAAACCGGUCUCAGUUCGGAUCGAAGUCUGCAACCCGACUUCGUGAAGCUGGAUUCGCUAGUAAUCGCAUAUCAGCCAUGAUGCGGUGAAUACGUUCCCGGGCCUUGUAC